UGGUCACACCGUUUGUUCAUGAGAUUACUGAAGGGGAAGCGAGAGAAGAGGUCUGGUCAUCUGUUAGUUACUUAUUCUUCAUCUCUACUUCUUUGAUCUAUGGAAAGAACCAACAAGUUAGGCAAGGCAUUGUGUGAUUAAAAGAUCUGAAAGGUGUGCUUGGACCGGAGAUGAGAAGAGCCUGGUGGUACCUUGUUUACAAGGUCUUCCCAGUUGAUGAACCCACCCUGAAUCCUGAGAGCAAGAGAGCCCUUUUAAUGAGGUCCAGUGGUUCUGGGACUUGGGCUUAUAUCAGAAUCACCUGCAGAUCUCCAAGACCUGAAAGAGGACUUCUCAGAAUCCUGACUCUGAAUUUGGUCUCAACAUCUGUUUUCUGCAGCUUCUCUCAAGCUCAGAGUUUUCUUAUGCCAGCCUCAAACUGUGCAGAUUCUGACCCUGGGACUUGUUCUUCCCUGUAAGAGCAUCCCUUUGAGCCUGAGGUGUGGACACUGUCUUUGAUUCUUAAGCAUUUAAAAAAUUUUUAUUGGAGUAUAUAGUACUUGAUUUACAAUGUUGUGUUAGUUUCAGGUAUACUUGAUCUUUUAUUUUUUAUUUAUAUUUUGUCCAAAUUUAUGACCCAAAUACUUCAGAAAUUUUUCUUUUGAAAAAAGUAAUUCUCAGUAUGGAUAUUUUCUUUUUUAAAUCUCUAAAUGGUUAAACAAAUGCCUACUACAUGACUUUUUUGGAGAUAUACAAAAAAUGUUUGCAUCUCAAUGGAAAAUAUGCAUUGACUACUGCAUACCCUUUUGAGUUAUCAGAUUAUAGCCCUGUUCGUUUUCUUUGAGCUGUUUUGCAACUCUUUCUAAAUUAUAGGUAACUGAUAUGUAAAUUUCAUCUUGUCAG
This is a long non-coding RNA of Bos taurus (domestic cattle), 882 nucleotides long. The record is from Ensembl. Lineage: Eukaryota; Metazoa; Chordata; Mammalia; Artiodactyla; Bovidae.